This 716-nucleotide ribosomal RNA is filed under the name uncultured Actinomycetes bacterium. RNAcentral describes it as "bacterial SSU rRNA". It matches the Rfam family "Bacterial small subunit ribosomal RNA", at positions 595 to 1311 of the family's 1533-position model. The record is from RNAcentral. Lineage: Bacteria; Bacillati; Actinomycetota; Actinomycetes.
UGAAAUUUCGGGGCUCAACCCCGGAACUGCAGUGGGUACGGGCAGACUAGAGUGUGGCAGAGGAGACUGGAAUUCCUGGUGUAGCGGUGGAAUGCGCAGAUAUCAGGAGGAACACCAGUGGCGAAGGCGGGUCUCUGGGCCGCAACUGACGCUGAGGAGCGAAAGCGUGGGGAGCGAACAGGAUUAGAUACCCUGGUAGUCCACGCCGUAAACGUUGGGCGCUAGGUGUGGGGCCCUUUCCACGGGCUCCGCGCCGCAGCUAACGCAUUAAGCGCCCCGCCUGGGGAGUACGGCCGCAAGGCUAAAACUCAAAGGAAUUGACGGGGCCCCGCACAAGCGGCGGAGCAUGCUGAUUAAUUCGAUGCAACGCGAAGAACCUUACCAAGGCUUGACAUAUACCGAAAACUGCUGGAGACAGCAGGUCCGCAAGGGCGGUAUACAGGUGGUGCAUGGUUGUCGUCAGCUCGUGUCGUGAGAUGUUGGGUUAAGUCCCGCAACGAGCGCAACCCCUGCCUUCAGUUGCCAUCGGGUGAAGCCGGGCACUCUGGAGGGACUGCCGGUGUCAAACCGGAGGAAGGUGGAGACGACGUCAAGUCCUCAUGGCCCUUAUGUCCGGGGCUACACACGUGCUACAAUGGCCGGCACAAAGGGCAGCGAUCCCGCAAGGGGGAGCCAAUCCCAAAAAGCCGGUCCCAGUUCGGAUCGGAGUCUGCAAC